Molecule: ribosomal RNA, 415 nt
Filed under: uncultured prokaryote
Description: bacterial SSU rRNA
Rfam family: Bacterial small subunit ribosomal RNA
Source: RNAcentral
GUGCCAGCAGCCGCGGUAAUACUUAGGUGGCAAGCGUUAUCCGGAUUUACUGGGCGUAAAGAGUGCGUAGGCGGUUCUUCAAGUCGGAUGUGAAAUCUUCCGGCUUAACCGGGAGGGGUCAUUCGAAACUGAUGGACUAGAGGACAGCAGGGGGAGGUGGAAUUCCCGGUGUAGUGGUGAAAUGCGUAGAUAUCGGGAGGAACACCAGUGGCGAAGGCGGCCUCCUGGGCUGUUUCUGACGCUGAGGCUCGAAAGUGUGGGGAGCGAACAGGAUUAGAUACCCUGGUAGUCCACACUGUAAACAAUGGACACUAGGUAUGGGGAGUAUCGACCCUUUCUGUGCCGAAGCUAACGCUUUAAGUGUCCCGCCUGGGGACUACGGCCGCAAGGCUAAAACUCAAAUGAAUUGGCGGGG